AAUAGAUACCCAGGUAGUCCACGCCGUAAACGAUGAUGACUCGGUCUGUGCCGGCUUCAACGCCGCUGCGGACCACAGCUAACGCGGUAAGUCAUCCGCCUGGGAAGUACGAGCGCAAGCUUAAAACUCAAAGGAAUUGACGGGGACCCGCACAAGCAGCGGAGCGUGUGGUUUAAUUCGACGCAACGCGAAGCACCUCACCCAGGUUUGACAUGGCACUGCAAGCCCGUGAAAGCGGGUCGCCUUCAAGGGUGUGCCACCGGUGCUGCAUGGCUGUCGUCAGCUCGUGUCGUGAGAUGUUGGGUUAAGUCCCGCAACGAGCGCAACCCCCGCGGCCAGUUACUCGUGUCUGGCCGGACUGCCCUUCGGGGAGGAAGGUGGGGAUGACGUCAAGUCCGCAUGGCCCGUACGUCUGGGGCGACACACACGCUACAAUGGCCGUCCUAAUGCGUCGCGACUGGGUAACCAGGAGCCAAUCGGGAAAGACGGUCUCAGUGCAGAUCGGGGGCUGCAACUCGCCCCGUGAA
This 527-nucleotide ribosomal RNA is filed under the name uncultured bacterium. Its description in RNAcentral is "bacterial SSU rRNA". It matches the Rfam family "Bacterial small subunit ribosomal RNA", at positions 777 to 1324 of the family's 1533-position model. The record is from RNAcentral.